RNAcentral lists this ribosomal RNA (253 nucleotides) under uncultured bacterium. RNAcentral's name for it is "partial 16S ribosomal RNA". It matches the Rfam family "Bacterial small subunit ribosomal RNA", at positions 524 to 776 of the family's 1533-position model. The record is from RNAcentral.
CACAGAGGGGGCAAGCGUUGUUCGGAAUUACUGGGCGUAAAGGGCGCGUAGGCGGCCUGCUAAGUCGAACGUGAAAUCCCCGAGCUCAACUCGGGAACUGCGUCCGAUACUGGCAGGCUUGAAUCCGGGAGAGGGAUGCGGAAUUCCAGGUGUAGCGGUGAAAUGCGUAGAUAUCUGGAGGAACACCUGAGGUGAAGACGGGUUGCUGGGCUGACACUGACGCUGAGGCGCGAAAGCUAGGGUAGCAAACGGG